RNAcentral lists this ribosomal RNA (487 nucleotides) under uncultured Pelotomaculum sp. RNAcentral's name for it is "bacterial SSU rRNA". It matches the Rfam family "Bacterial small subunit ribosomal RNA", at positions 897 to 1382 of the family's 1533-position model. Lineage: Bacteria; Bacillati; Bacillota; Clostridia; Eubacteriales; Desulfotomaculaceae. The record is from RNAcentral.
AAACUUAAAGGAAUUGACGGGGCCCGCACAAGCGGUGGAGCAUGUGGUUUAAUUCGAUGCAACGCGAAGAACCUUACCAGGGCUUGACAUCCCCUGACCGCGUAUGAAAGUACGUUUUCACCUUCGGGAGACAGGGAGACAGGUGGUGCAUGGUUGUCGUCAGCUCGUGUCGUGAGAUGUUGGGUUAAGUCCCGCAACGAGCGCAACCCCUACGUUUAGUUGCUAACAGGUGAAGCUGAGCACUCUAGACGAACUGCCGUUGACAAAACGGAGGAAGGUGGGGAUGACGUCAAAUCAUCAUGCCCCUUAUGUUCUGGGCUACACACGUACUACAAUGGCCGUUACAACGGGAAGCGAAGGAGCAAUCCGGAGCAAAUCCCUUAAAGGCGGUCCCAGUUCAGAUUGUGGGCUGAAACUCGCCCACAUGAAGGCGGAAUUGCUAGUAAUUGCAGAUCAGCAUGCUGCAGUGAAUACGUUCCCGGGCCUU